This 459-nucleotide ribosomal RNA is filed under the name uncultured bacterium. RNAcentral's name for it is "bacterial SSU rRNA". It matches the Rfam family "Bacterial small subunit ribosomal RNA", at positions 29 to 524 of the family's 1533-position model. The record is from RNAcentral.
AACGAACGCUGGCGGCAUGCCUAACACAUGCAAGUCGAACGGGAUCCAGGCUUCGGCCUGGUGAGAGUGGCGGACGGGUGAGUAACACGUGGGAACCUGCCUUUUGGUUCGGGAUAACCGCGGGAAACUGCGGCUAAUACCGGAUGCUCCCGAGAGGGGAAAGAUUUAUCGCCAGAAGAGGGGCCCGCGUCCGAUUAGGUAGUUGGUGAGGUAAUGGCUCACCAAGCCGACGAUCGGUAGCUGGUCUGAGAGGAUGAUCAGCCACACUGGGACUGAGAUACGGCCCAGACUCCUACGGGAGGCAGCAGUGGGGAAUAUUGGACAAUGGGGGCAACCCUGAUCCAGCAAUGCCGCGUGAGUGAUGAAGGCCUUAGGGUUGUAAAGCUCUUUUGCCAGGGAAGAUGAUGACUGUACCUGGAGAAUAAGCCCGGCUAACUUCGUGCCAGCAGCCGCGGUAAU